This 1373-nucleotide ribosomal RNA is filed under the name uncultured bacterium. Its description in RNAcentral is "bacterial SSU rRNA". It matches the Rfam family "Bacterial small subunit ribosomal RNA", at positions 28 to 1381 of the family's 1533-position model. The record is from RNAcentral.
GAUGAACGCUGGCGGCGUGCCUAAUACAUGCAAGUCGAGCGAACGGACGAGAAGCUUGCUUCUCUGAUGUUAGCGGCGGACGGGUGAGUAACACGUGGAUAACCUACCUAUAAGACUGGGAUAACUUCGGGAAACCGGAGCUAAUACCGGAUAAUAUUUUGAACCGCAUGGUUCAAAAGUGAAAGACGGUCUUGCUGUCACUUAUAGAUGGAUCCGCGCUGCAUUAGCUAGUUGGUAAGGUAACGGCUUACCAAGGCAACGAUGCAUAGCCGACCUGAGAGGGUGAUCGGCCACACUGGAACUGAGACACGGUCCAGACUCCUACGGGAGGCAGCAGUAGGGAAUCUUCCGCAAUGGGCGAAAGCCUGACGGAGCAACGCCGCGUGAGUGAUGAAGGUCUUCGGAUCGUAAAACUCUGUUAUUAGGGAAGAACAUAUGUGUAAGUAACUGUGCACAUCUUGACGGUACCUAAUCAGAAAGCCACGGCUAACUACGUGCCAGCAGCCGCGGUAAUACGUAGGUGGCAAGCGUUAUCCGGAAUUAUUGGGCGUAAAGCGCGCGUAGGCGGUUUUUUAAGUCUGAUGUGAAAGCCCACGGCUCAACCGUGGAGGGUCAUUGGAAACUGGAAAACUUGAGUGCAGAAGAGGAAAGUGGAAUUCCAUGUGUAGCGGUGAAAUGCGCAGAGAUAUGGAGGAACACCAGUGGCGAAGGCGACUUUCUGGUCUGUAACUGACGCUGAUGUGCGAAAGCGUGGGGAUCAAACAGGAUUAGAUACCCUGGUAGUCCACGCCGUAAACGAUGAGUGCUAAGUGUUAGGGGGUUUCCGCCCCUUAGUGCUGCAGCUAACGCAUUAAGCACUCCGCCUGGGGAGUACGACCGCAAGGUUGAAACUCAAAGGAAUUGACGGGGACCCGCACAAGCGGUGGAGCAUGUGGUUUAAUUCGAAGCAACGCGAAGAACCUUACCAAAUCUUGACAUCCUUUGACAACUCUAGAGAUAGAGCCUUCCCCUUCGGGGGACAAAGUGACAGGUGGUGCAUGGUUGUCGUCAGCUCGUGUCGUGAGAUGUUGGGUUAAGUCCCGCAACGAGCGCAACCCUUAAGCUUAGUUGCCAUCAUUAAGUUGGGCACUCUAAGUUGACUGCCGGUGACAAACCGGAGGAAGGUGGGGAUGACGUCAAAUCAUCAUGCCCCUUAUGAUUUGGGGCUACACACGUGCUACAAUGGACAAUACAAAGGGCAGCGAAACCGCGAGGUCAAGCAAAUCCCAUAAAGUUGUUCUCAGUUCGGAUUGUAGUCUGCAACUCGACUACAUGAAGCUGGAAUCGCUAGUAAUCGUAGAUCAGCAUGCUACGGUGAGUACGUUCCCGGGUCU